CCGGUGAGCUACGGCUCGCCGGGGUUGAGGACUGCAUUUAGUCUCAAUGGUCUAUCCGAACUACCUGGAAAGGUAGGCAAUACAGUGUAAAAGCCACGUAGGUUAAAGACCGGAGAGAUGAGCAGUAUCCAGAGUACCACGAGGCACGAGGAAUCUUGUGGGAAGCCGGGGGGACCACCCUCCAACCCUAAACACUGAAUGGCGACCGAUAGCGCAUAGUACCGUGAGGGAAAGGUGAAAAGAACCCCGGGAGGGGAGUGAAAGAGAACCUGAAACCGUAUGUCUACAAGCAGUCGGAGCGAAAGCGACGGCGUGCCUAUUGAAGAAUGAACCAACGAGUUACGUGCACUAGCGAGGUUAAGUGGAAGACACGGAGCCGAAGCGAAAGCGAGUCUUAAGAGGGCGGAUAGUUAGUGUACGUAGACCCGAAACCGCAGUGAUCUACCCAUGUCCAGGUUGAAGCGCAGGUAAAAUUGCGUGGAGGACCGAACCUGUGAGCGUUGAAAAGCUUUAGGAUGAGAUGUGGGUAGAGGUGAAAUUCCAAUCGAACGCGGAGAUAGCUGGUUCUCCCCGAAAUAGCUUUAGGGCUAGCCUCAAGUAGUAAGUAUAGGCGGUAGAGCACUGAUCGGGCUAGGGGCCAUAAAGGUUACCGAACCCUGUCAAACUCCGAAUGGUUAUACUGUAGAGCUUGGGAGUCAGACUACGAGUGAUAAGAUCCGUGGUCAAAAGGGAAACAGCCCAGACCACCAGCUAAGGUCCCCAAUGUCGUACUAAGUGGAAAAGGAUGUGGGGUCUCUAAAACAACCAGGAUGUUGGCUUAGAAGCAGCCACCAUUUAAAGAGUGCGUAAUAGCUCACUGGUCGAGAGACCCUGCGCCGAAGAUUACCGGGGCUAAAGUACGAAACCGAAGCUGUGGCUACGACAUAUGUCGUGGGGUAGGGGAGCGUUCUGUGAGGGCUGAAGUCGUUCUGUAAGGAACGGUGGACUUCACAGAAGUGAGAAUGUUGGUAUGAGUAGCGAAAAGAAUGGUGAGAAUCCAUUCCACCGAAAGCAUAAGGAUUCCUGGGCAACGAUCGUCGUCCCAGGGUAAGUCGGGACCUAAUCCGAGGCAUGGAGCGUAGGAGAUGGACAACUGGCAGAUAUUCCAGUACCGGUAAUGAUUGUUUGAGCGAUGGAGUGACACAGGAGGGCAGGCAGGCAGGAGAUUGGUUGUUCCUGUACAAGCGUGUAGGAUGGGACGCAGGCAAAUCCGCGUCCUGUGAGUCUGAGGCGUGAUGUGGAGGUUCCGGAAACGGAACUGAAGCUGCCGACCCCACACUGUCGAGAAAAGCUUCUAGUUAGAGAAUUACCGCCCGUACCGUAAACCGACACAGGUAUGCGGGGAGAGAAUCCUAAGGUGCGCGGGAGAACCCUCGUUAAGGAACUCGGCAAAAUGUACCCGUAACUUCGGGAUAAGGGUAGCCGCUGUUGUGAAGUCUGAACAGACGGAGCAUGAGGCGGUCGCAGAGAAGAGGCCCAAGCGACUGUUUACCACAAACACAGGUGCCUGCUAAAGAGAAAUCUGACGUAUAGGUGCUGACACCUGCCCAGUGCCGGAAGGUUAAGGAAGGAUGUCCGGAGCAAUCCAAAGCAUUCGACCGAAGCCCCGGUGAACGGCGGCCGUAACUAUAACGGUCCUAAGGUAGCGAAAUUCCUUGUCGGGUAAGUUCCGACCCGCACGAAAGGUGUAACGAUUUGGGCACUGUCUCAACGAGGGACCCGGUGAAAUUGAAGUACCUGUGAAGAUGCAGGUUACCCGCGACUGGACAGAAAGACCCCAUGGAGCUUUACUGUAACCUGACAUUGGGUUCUGAUACAUCACGUACAGGAUAGGUGGGAGGCAUGGAAGCGAGGACGCUAGUCUUCGUGGAGCCGCCGUUGGGAUACCACCCUUGAUGUAUCGGAAUUCUAACCGUAGGAGUAACGAAACUCGGGACAGUGUCAGGCGGGCAGUUUGACUGGGGCGGUCGCCUCCCAAAGAGUAACGGAGGCGCCCAAAGGUUCCCUCAGCGCGGCCGGAAAUCGCGCGAAGAGUGUAAAGGCAGAAGGGAGCUUGACUGAGAGCCAAACACGGCAAUCAGGUACGAAAGUAGGGCUUAGUGAUCCGGUGGCAUCCAAGUGGAAGGGCCAUCGCUCAACGGAUAAAAGCUACCCUGG
This 2196-nucleotide ribosomal RNA is filed under the name human gut metagenome. Its description in RNAcentral is "bacterial LSU rRNA". It matches the Rfam family "Bacterial large subunit ribosomal RNA", at positions 274 to 2471 of the family's 2925-position model. The record is from RNAcentral.